GACGAACGCUGGCGGCGUGCUUAACACAUGCAAGUCGAACGGAAAGGCCCUGCUUUUGUGGGGUGCUCGAGUGGCGAACGGGUGAGUAACACGUGAGUAACCUGCCCUUGACUUUGGGAUAACUUCAGGAAACUGGGGCUAAUACCGGAUAGGAGCUCCUGCUGCAUGGUGGGGGUUGGAAAGUUUCGGCGGUUGGGGAUGGACUCGCGGCUUAUCAGCUUGUUGGUGGGGUAGUGGCUUACCAAGGCUUUGACGGGUAGCCGGCCUGAGAGGGUGACCGGCCACAUUGGGACUGAGAUACGGCCCAGACUCCUACGGGAGGCAGCAGUGGGGAAUAUUGCACAAUGGGCGGAAGCCUGAUGCAGCAACGCCGCGUGCGGGAUGACGGCCUUCGGGUUGUAAACCGCUUGCGCCUGUGACGAAGCGUGAGUGACGGUAAUGUGUAAAGAAGCACCGGCUAACUACGUG
This 468-nucleotide ribosomal RNA is filed under the name uncultured bacterium. Its description in RNAcentral is "partial 16S ribosomal RNA". It matches the Rfam family "Bacterial small subunit ribosomal RNA", at positions 28 to 507 of the family's 1533-position model. The record is from RNAcentral.